UUAAAUUGAAGAGUUUGAUCAUGGCUCAGAUUGAACGCUGGCGGCAGGCCUAACACAUGCAAGUCGAACGGUAACAGGAAGCAGCUUGCUGCUUUGCUGACGAGUGGCGGACGGGUGAGUAAUGUCUGGGAAACUGCCUGAUGGAGGGGGAUAACUACUGGAAACGGUAGCUAAUACCGCAUAACGUCGCAAGACCAAAGAGGGGGACCUUCGGGCCUCUUG
This 222-nucleotide ribosomal RNA is filed under the name Enterobacter cloacae. Its description in RNAcentral is "partial 16S ribosomal RNA". It matches the Rfam family "Bacterial small subunit ribosomal RNA", at positions 1 to 217 of the family's 1533-position model. Lineage: Bacteria; Pseudomonadati; Pseudomonadota; Gammaproteobacteria; Enterobacterales; Enterobacteriaceae. The record is from RNAcentral. RNAcentral also lists the same sequence under 2 other names.